Molecule: transfer RNA, 65 nt
Filed under: uncultured Phascolarctobacterium sp.
Lineage: Bacteria; Bacillati; Bacillota; Negativicutes; Acidaminococcales; Acidaminococcaceae
Rfam family: tRNA
About the family: Transfer RNA (tRNA) molecules are approximately 80 nucleotides in length. Their secondary structure includes four short double-helical elements and three loops (D, anti-codon, and T loops).
Source: RNAcentral
GGGCAUAGUUCAAUGGUAGAGCACCGGUCUCCAAAACCGUCGAUCUGGGUUCGAGUCCUAGUGCC